RNAcentral lists this ribosomal RNA (253 nucleotides) under uncultured bacterium. RNAcentral's name for it is "partial 16S ribosomal RNA". It matches the Rfam family "Bacterial small subunit ribosomal RNA", at positions 524 to 776 of the family's 1533-position model. The record is from RNAcentral.
UACGAGGAGGGCAAAUGUUGUUCGGAAUCACUGGGCGUAAAGAGAGCGUAGGCGGGCUUCUAAGUUAGAUGUUUAAUCCCGGGGCCCAACCCCGGACAGGCACCUAAAACUGGAAGUCUUGAAUAGUGGAGAGGACGGCGGAAUUGGGGGUGUAGCGGUGGAAUGCGUAGAGAUCCCCAAGAACACCAGUUGCGAAGGCGGCCGUCUGGACACAUAUUGACGCUGAGGCUCGAAAGCAUGGGGAGCAAACAGG